UGAACAAUGGCCCGGGGAGGCUGGAAAAUGUCCCCGUUUCCCGGGGCUGGCGCCGGGAGCCGCGCAGGGCUGGGCAGCCCCUCGGGGGGCUCCUGUCCCCCCGUCCCCUCCCUGUCCCCAGCGGUGACACCCGCGGGGUGACCUCGGCCUGCGGGGACGGGUCACAUCUCCCGCAGGGCGAGUGGCACUUCAGGGAGGAGCGGCUGUCCCCAAAGCCGCGUCCCCGAGCCUCUGAGGAAGGCCAGGCUGGAGGCCAAUGUCACCGCGCUGGGGGACGAGCUGGUGGCGCUGCGGCGCGAGCGGGCCCAGCUGGCCGGUGACAAAGUGGCCCUGCAAGGUGAGCCCUGUCCCCUGC
Molecule: long non-coding RNA, 355 nt
Filed under: Chloebia gouldiae (Gouldian finch)
Lineage: Eukaryota; Metazoa; Chordata; Aves; Passeriformes; Passeridae
Description: Erythrura gouldiae (Gouldian finch) lncRNA (ENSEGOG00005016947.1)
Source: RNAcentral